CCCCUUGCAUCCCACACUGCGCUGCCUGGUUUCUGAAGGUGUGAUUCUCUGCCUUCACUAUCAUCUUCUCUCUGUGGACCCCAAUUUUGUUCACCUGUAAUCCUCUUGUUGCCCCUUCUCCCCAUAGCCCUGCCCAUCUCCUCUGGCUCACUCUCACCCUGCACUCUUGAUGCUUGAAUCCAAACAUCGGGAGCAAACCAUGAGAUAGCAACGUGCGGGCACUGGGAUCUCUGAUGAGCUGAGGAUCAAAGAAGCAGAAGACGGCUGGAUUUGCAGGAGCUGUAUGGUCCCAAGACAGGAAGAACUCCCUGUUCUUUUGAGGAGAAAACCAAAUGAGGAACUAACAUACUCUCUGUCAUUCUGAGAUUUUGCUUGUAAUGUUCUCAAAUCUACAAAGGUUUCGAGAAGAAAUGUACAUGUGGCUAGCCCACCCCAGACAAGAAGGACUUGAAGAAAAUGUGAUGUUCCCUAUAUAGUUUCCAGUAAAUGAGAGUUGCUCAUCAUUUGAUCCUUCCAAACAUUUAUUUCUCUGUGCUGUGUCUUAGCCUGCAGCAGGCUCCAGUCUGGACUGUAAUUUUGGUUCUUAUACACCCAUCCAACAGCUUUGUUGUGGUAUUCCUUCUUAGAGAUCAUCCCACAUGGUACCAGAGUUUGCCACAGAGACAGGACUAAGUUUGAGACCAGUAUUCAGACUUUGGAUAUCAUCCGUAAGGAGCAGAGGAAGGAAACCAGGUCGGAGAAGCAGAUGUCUUUGAAAGAAGAUAAAAACAGAAAGGGCUGGGAGUCAGCCUCCUGCUGUGCUCCUUGGAUGACGCCUUUCCUGGCGGGCUGAGGGCUCACACACAGUUCAGUACACCUGGCACUGAGUAAACCAUUGAGAACAUCCUGGGAAUCUUCCUAAGGUAGCUUCAGCAGUGCCCAGAAGAGCCAGCUCCUCAGCAUCUCCACUGGGGACUUCAAAAAGAGCAGCAGAAGGAGCUUGACACCUACAUGUCUGAGGGCAAGAGAAGAACAGUGUUCCAUUAGCAUGAUGUUCAAGCUGUAAUUAAAUGUAGGCACUGCCAACUGCAACAUCUUUUAGAUAAAUGAGCAAGAACA
Molecule: long non-coding RNA, 1098 nt
Organism: Gallus gallus (chicken)
Lineage: Eukaryota; Metazoa; Chordata; Aves; Galliformes; Phasianidae
Source: Ensembl